Molecule: long non-coding RNA, 322 nt
Organism: Oncorhynchus gorbuscha (pink salmon)
Lineage: Eukaryota; Metazoa; Chordata; Actinopteri; Salmoniformes; Salmonidae
Exons: 3
Source: RefSeq, a predicted model, not a curated record
GACUUUGUGAGUCCCACUGGGUUGUUAUGGCGAUGACUUUGUGAGUCCCACUGGGUUGUUAUGGUGAUGCUCUAGCUAGCUACAAAUAACUGGAGGCUUGUGUUCCAUGGGGCACACAACUGAAAACAUUUAUCACUUGCAACUUCAAAUGAGGUCCAGGUGCCUAAUGAACACAACCCAGGACACUUUGUGUUUCUCUCUAAUAACUGGAACUCCUGAAAGACGCCACAGAGUGGAGACAUGAGUGUGAGCUGUUGAAGGAACAGGAGACGCAGCUCAAACAGCAGCUCUCUUUGUACAUGGACAAGUUUGAGGACUGUUU